Molecule: ribosomal RNA, 496 nt
Filed under: uncultured bacterium
Lineage: Bacteria
Description: partial 16S ribosomal RNA
Rfam family: Bacterial small subunit ribosomal RNA
Source: RNAcentral
GAUGAACGCUGGCGGCGUGCCUAAUACAUGCAAGUCGAGCGAACAGACGAGGAGCUUGCUCCUCUGACGUUAGCGGCGGACGGGUGAGUAACACGUGGAUAACCUACCUAUAAGACUGGGAUAACUUCGGGAAACCGGAGCUAAUACCGGAUAAUAUAUUGAACCGCAUGGUUCAAUAGUGAAAGACGGUUUUGCUGUCACUUAUAGAUGGAUCCGCGCCGCAUUAGCUAGUUGGUAAGGUAACGGCUUACCAAGGCGACGAUGCGUAGCCGACCUGAGAGGGGGAUCGGCAACAGUGGAGCGAGGACGCGGGCCAACACUGGAGGGGAGGCACGGGUGGGAAACCUUCGGGAGGGGGCAAAGGCCGAACGGGGAAACGGGGGGUGAGGAAGAAAGUGCUUGGGAUCGUAAAUCUUUGUUAUUGGGGGAAAAAAAAGGUGUAAUAAAAUGGACCCGUUUGAACGUACCCUAAGAAAAAGCCCCGGGUAAACCCGGG